AGGACGAACGCUGGCGGCGUGCUUAACACAUGCAAGUCGAACGGAAAGGCCCGCUUGCGGGUACUCGAGUGGCGAACGGGUGAGUAACACGUGGGCAACCUGCCCUCAGCUUCGGGAUAACACUUGGAAACAGGUGCUAAUACCGGAUAACAACUUUUCAUCGCAUGGUGGAUGGUUCAAAGUUUUUCGGCUGAGGAUGGGCCCGCGGCCUAUCAGCUUGUUGGUGGGGUAAUGGCCUACCAAGGCGACGACGGGUAGCCGGCCUGAGAGGGCGACCGGCCACACUGGGACUGAGACACGGCCCAGACUCCUACGGGAGGCAGCAGUGGGGAAUAUUGCGCAAUGGGCGAAAGCCUGACGCAGCGACGCCGCGUGAGGGAUGACGGCCUUCGGGUUGUAAACCGUCUUUCAGCUCUGACGAAGCGCAAGUGACGGUAGGAGCGAGAAGAAGCACCGGCCAACUACGCGCCAGCAGCCGC
RNAcentral lists this ribosomal RNA (479 nucleotides) under uncultured bacterium. RNAcentral's name for it is "SSU rRNA". It matches the Rfam family "Bacterial small subunit ribosomal RNA", at positions 26 to 518 of the family's 1533-position model. The record is from RNAcentral.